RNAcentral lists this ribosomal RNA (312 nucleotides) under uncultured Pseudomonas sp. RNAcentral's name for it is "bacterial SSU rRNA". It matches the Rfam family "Bacterial small subunit ribosomal RNA", at positions 1073 to 1382 of the family's 1533-position model. Lineage: Bacteria; Pseudomonadati; Pseudomonadota; Gammaproteobacteria; Pseudomonadales; Pseudomonadaceae. The record is from RNAcentral.
UGUUGGGUUAAGUCCCGUAACGAGCGCAACCCUUGUCCUUAGUUACCAGCACGUUAUGGUGGGCGACUCUAAGGAGACUGCCGGUGACAAACCGGAGGAAGGUGAGGAUGACGUCAAGUCAUCAUGGCCCUUACGGCCUGGGCUACACACGUGCUACAAUGGUCGGUACAAAGGGUUGCCAAGCCGCGAGGUGGAGCUAAUCCCAUAAAAACCGAUCGUAGUCCGGAUCGCAGUCUGCAACUCGACUGCGUGAAGUCGGAAUCGCUAGUAAUCGUGAAUCAGAAUGUCACGGUGAAUACGUUCCCGGGCCUU